AUUGAACGCUGGCGGCAUGCCUUACACAUGCAAGUCGAACGGUAACAGGUUAAGCUGCCGAGUGGCGAACGGGUGAGUAAUGUAUCGGAACGUGCCCAGUCGUGGGGGAUAACUGCUCGAAAGAGCAGCUAAUACCGCAUACGACCUGAGGGUGAAAGCGGGGGAUCGCAAGACCUCGCGCGAUUGGAGCGGCCGAUAUCAGAUUAGGUAGUUGGUGAGGUAAAGGCUCACCAAGCCGACGAUCUGUAGCUGGUCUGAGAGGACGACCAGCCACACUGGGACUGAGACACGGCCCAGACUCCUACGGGAGGCAGCAGUGGGGAAUUUUGGACAAUGGGCGCAAGCCUGAUCCAGCCAUGCCGCGUGCGGGAAGAAGGCCUUCGGGUUGUAAACCGCUUUUGUCAGGGAAGAAAGGGUUCUGGCUAAUACCUGGGACUCAUGACGGUACCUGAAGAAUAAGCACCGGCUAACUACGUG
RNAcentral lists this ribosomal RNA (477 nucleotides) under uncultured bacterium. RNAcentral's name for it is "partial 16S ribosomal RNA". It matches the Rfam family "Bacterial small subunit ribosomal RNA", at positions 30 to 507 of the family's 1533-position model. The record is from RNAcentral.